RNAcentral lists this ribosomal RNA (468 nucleotides) under uncultured bacterium. RNAcentral describes it as "partial 16S ribosomal RNA". It matches the Rfam family "Bacterial small subunit ribosomal RNA", at positions 28 to 507 of the family's 1533-position model. The record is from RNAcentral.
GACGAACGCUGGCGGCGUGCUUAACACAUGCAAGUCGGACGGAAAGGCCCUGCUUUUGUGGGGUGCUCGAGUGGCGAACGGGUGAGUAACACGUGAGUAACCUGCCCUUGACCUUGGGAUAACUUCAGGAAACUGGGGCUAAUACCGGAUAGGAGCUCCUGCUGCAUGGUGGGGGUUGGAAAGUUUCGGCGGUUGGGGAUGGACUCGCGGCUUAUCAGCUUGUUGGUGGGGUAGUGGCUUACCAAGGCUUUGACGGGUAGCCGGCCUGAGAGGGUGACCAGCCACAUUGGGACUGAGAUACGGCCCAGACUCCUACGGGAGGCAGCAGUGGGGAAUAUUGCACAAUGGGCGGAAGCCUGAUGCAGCAACGCCGCGUGCGGGAUGACGGCCUUCGGGUUGUAAACCGCUUUCGCCUGUGACGAAGCGUGAGUGACGGUAAUGGGUAAAGAAGCACCGGCUAACUACGUG